UUUGGAUCAAGAAGUCUGACCACAGCAAUCCUUGUGUAAGGCCCAUUCUACAGGCCUGUGGUGUUGAGGGAAAUUUCUUGCAACCACUUUCUAUCUCUACCUUCUCCUCAGGCUAUAAUCAUGCCCAAGAUGGUCCAUUCAUAAGGAAAUCAAAAUUCAACAUGAGCAUUUUCCUGGACUUUCUUCUGCAUAACCUCUAAGAGAAUGGCAUCCACUCUAAGGAUCUCAACCAGCACCUACAUGCCGCAGACCCCAAACCUACCUCAUCACAGACCUCUCUGCAACACCGCUUAAGUCCUCCCCUGCCCACCUCCUCCCCAGUUCUUCCAUCUCCUUUAGCAUCCGCACCAUCCAAAUAGUCACCUUAAGUCACCUCAAGUCACCUCAACCAGAAAUUGCAUGAUUUUUAAAAAAUCUGUCCUUUUCCUUUACAUCCCAUCUAUCUGGGUAGGUAUUAUUCUUGCCCCUCCCUCCAAAGAAAUUACAGAAAAAGAAGAGUUUCCCCUUUAGGGUAUUAACUUCACUUAUCUUUCUGCAUUUUUAAAAGAAUAUAUGAAAACUAGAAGGCAUGUCAGCUAAUUCCCAUGGGAAAAAGGACUGAAGUAGUUGAGCUAUGCAGCCUGUCCCAGCAAGAAAAUAGGAAGAGACCUCACUUGACUGUGGGUGGGAGCCAUGAUGUUCUAUGUCACUUUUCGUGUUCCUGGGCUAACAGGUGAAUUACCUCCCUGACUUGUAUGACAGCAGCAAUGACAUCAGCGAGAAAUGUCAGAGCUGUUCGUUCCCACCAGAAGGAGAACGCUUUGCAUUCAGAGAAAGAGUUGUUAGCAAAAUGGCCUUAAAAAGGUCAUGUGCUGGGAAGCUGGGGAUGGGAGGAGAGUGGGUGAGUGAGAAGGGAAGCGGAGAAGAAGACUCUGGCAGUGCGGGCCUGUGUCUUCUGACUAGAUGGUCAAGAAGGAGUGAGCAUGAUGAUUUUCAUGGGGUCCCAAGUUUGGGGGUCAACAGAGGCCAACAGUGAGUGACAAAAAAAAGAAAAACAACAACUGUGUCCUGAAUACAAAGGAAGCUGAAAGUCAAAACUGAGGUCAAGCUGACACAGCUUUAAAUAAUAAAGUAAGGAAAUAGGCAUUCCCGUCAUGGCGCAGUGGAAACAAAUACCACUAGGAACAUGACAUAGUGGGUUCAUUCCCUGGCCUCGCUCAGUGGGUUAAGGAUCCGGCAUUGCUGUGAGCUAUUCAUUUCUGCUGCGCCAAGACAGGAACUCCUUGUUUUAUUUUAAUAAUAACUUUAUGAGGGAGAUACUAUUUAGACACAAAAAAUUUGAAUUUCAGAGAUGUUGACUGUUUUCCUGAGACAUAGAUUUGGAAAUUAUAACACUUCCAAUUAAAACAUGAAUACCAUUCGUUGAUAAUCAAACACGAUUUAGACAAAUCUGGACCAAAGUUAUCAUUAGUGAAUUUGACUUUUCAUAUUACCACAAAGCUUGUUUCAAAGUGGUAUUAGCCAUUCCAACCACCAAACCUAUGUUAAAAAAGUCUCUCCUCUUAAUAUAUUUAAAAGAAUGUUUCACAUGAAUUCCAAAGAUAAUGACUUCUUCUAUGCUUGCUUAAAAAAAUAGAAACACUCUACAUAACUGUGAAUUCACUUAUCAGAAUUAUUACCAUUACCAACCAUAUAUCUGUAACCAUAUGGCUAUUUAUUUGAUAAAGUAUUUUACCUCUGUAUCUCCACAAAAUCCUUGAAGACUGGGACUUGGAGAAAAUACAGAAGUACAGGAAUCAGGAUAUAGGAAGAACUUGAGAAAGCAAAACAAGAAUGAGUAAAUGGAAAAAAAGAACAUCGUCUAGGACUCAGAUUUCUGAAUGAGCAAUAAAGUGUUCCCAACAAACUUUUUCCUACAAAGAAAUGUUGCAGAGGCAAAGAGAUUCUCCAAGGAGGAAACCACCAGGACUCAGACCACAGCAUUUUGCAAUUCAUGCCCAAUGCCUCUCAUUAUGACGAAAAUUAAUGAUAAUUCCAGGAGGCUGACACAAGAGGUGCAACUUCCUGCAGGUCAUUACAAGACACACCAGCACUGACAUAGCUGCAGGUUUAAGAAUCUCUAAGAAUGAGCAUGGUUAAAAAAAAAAGGAAAGAUUUUUUUCCUUUCUGUCACCAGCCCAGCUUCCAUUGCAGUAUAACAGCCUAAAGAUGCAGACGUUGAGUUUAUGAGGCAAAUAAUGGAGUUGAUAGAUGGGUCUGCGCUCUGAGGGGCGGAAGGAAGAUUGGAUCAGGGCUGGUCUGCGCUGGAGCAGCCCUCUCCCUUCCAUCCAUCCUAUGAGGACCCCUAGUCAGCCAGUGCUCUGAGACUGACAUAAAUCAGGGGCAACAACGGAUGAGCAUGAAGAAACGGGCUGGCAGCCGUGGCGCCGCAGCCAUAAAUCAGGAACUAAUUCAAUCCUGUGAGAUGCCUCGUUUGAUUAAUUUACGUCAGCAUUUUCUGUGUUGUCAGGCUCAGUCCCUGGAGUCUCCCCCUUGUCUCGUUCUCCACUUUCUCUGGCACAAAGUGGGGCCCCUCCCACCACCACAAAGGAAGAAGAGAAUGGAACACCAGCAGAUUCCAGAAGAAUGAGUGCAACUAGCUCCAUCUCCUCCCCAGCUGGUGAGAAAGAUGGAGAAAGGCUCUCGCAGGGGUCCCAGGUUCCAGGUCAGAAACACCAUUCUCCAAACUUCAUGGGGGAAGAGGGUUAACAAGUCGCACCCUGAUCAGAGAAACAGGUUUUCUUAGAGGAGUGAGAAAAAUACUUUGGUGCUUAAUCCUCUUGAUGCAAAAGUGAUUGUGACCGCUAUCAUUUACAAGAGUGGAGAACUGGAAACAGCCCGGAUACCCAACAACAGCAAAAGUAAUUUGUGCUAUAUCAAUAUAGUAAAUGGAGGUAUUUCCUUGCAUAGGAAGUCAUUCAUUUGUAUACAAAUAUGCUCAUGGUGUGCUGUUUAGUGAAAAAAAGUACCAGUUAAAUAAUUGAAUUUUUGUGUGUUUCUGUUGUUUUUCUGGGGAAAAUGUGUAUAUCUAUAUUUUACCUCUCUAUUAUUUUAGACUAUUAAACUCGAUGUUCUAAAUGUUUAUGAUAAAUAUGUAUUUCUCGUGCACUGGAAAUAAGUACUUUAAGAGUAGUCUGAACAAAGACCAGAAAUUCCAAAGACAUGGAAGAAGAAUUUAGAUGUUUUUGUCAUAAGCUCCCUAGCAUUGGGAAAGAUUUCCUUGGUGUCCUAGGAUCAGGGUGAGCAGAUGGAAUAGGAAACCAGGUGGUACUUGAGAGGGCCUGGUCCAUGUGGGCAGACCGAAGACGACCACAGCUCAAUUCAAAUGGAAGAGGAAACGACCAGAAAGGAUGUGGCUGGGAGGAAGGGCUGGUGUCUGCUCAGGGUCCCAGGGAGCCGCUCUAUUUUAGGCUUGAUGGAGAUCAAGUUCUUUCUGAGCCUGAUGAGUUGCUUAUUUAUCCUUCUUGUUAAAAAUGUUUAUACCUUUUUACUAACCUUGGUAUAUCGGUUCAUCAGUGUAACAGAAGGAAAAACAUAAAAGUAGGUUUUCCAUUAUGGACCUCAACCCAUGACAGGUAGCACCUAUCAAAAACAGUUUCUAUGUUCACACAUUUAAUUAGGAAACUUGAAACUGAAAGGAAAGACAGGCAAGGAUGAUGUGCCCUAAAAGAAAAUACUUUACUUCAUUGACUGUGUCUACAUGGGUGUUUAGUCUUAAGGGAGUCUAAAUUUAAAGUGCAUCUAGAUAAGUAUUAAGUAUGACCAACCCUUUCAGGAUGGAGAUGUAGGUGAAACCUGUGAGCCUACAAGCAAGGCUGGUGAAAAGAUGCAAUGAAUGAGAGGUGGAUAUUGGUAGUCUGGUCCUUAGGUUAUUUUUAAAAAGCUUUAAUUAGCCCCAAAGAGUUAAUGCCUGGCUGAACAUUUUGGGGAAUAUCCCAAUCCUGGCUGUCCCAGUAAUACCUAUGAAAUUUAGACAAAUAGAUAACACUUUGAAGUGUCUUUGGGUGGGAUUGCUGCGUCCAUACCUCAAAAGAGUUCCCAUAGGAUUUUGUGUAUGGCAGUUUUGGAAAACACUGUGUUUGGUAUAUUUAUCUCUAUUCCAAAAGAAAAAUACAAACUUUUUACAUGGAAGGUAUGGAGAGCCAGGUUGGUGUAAGCAAGUAUCUUAAUUUAAUCUGUGCAAGACUGAAGUGUGCAAAACUGGAACAAACUGGAACCGACUGGAACAGACUGCCUAAUGAGGGCAUGAGCCUCCAUCCUGAAAAGGGGCAAGGUACUACUUCUCAACAAUUUUGCAUCCGUGGCAUUAUUUUAACAUGAGAUCUUCAAAAGAGUGUCAGGCAAGUCAGCAAUAAUCCCCACGCCAUCCCUACCGUGGUUUAAAAAUAAGUUGUACCAACUGCAGGAAGGUCCACAAUUGUUCCACACCCGCCUGGGUCAUCUUGUAGCCCUGCCCUUCAGUGAGAACAGAGCUGGCUGACUCAGAACCCUGCCCUCCAAAGACCUUGUACCUUCUGGAGGUGAUGGAAGAGAACGUUUGCCUCCACCAGCUUCUCGUUCUCCUGCACGAACCUCCUCUAAGCUGUGCUCCUGUCAGCAGCAGGUCACGCCACACCUUCCCAGCUCAGGCAUCACUACACUGCUCCCGUGUGCUCAGUUUUAUAAGAACAAGGUUUUCCCCCAUCAUUAAUAUUUAGAGGCACACCUGUGAAGGGUUUAGGGAUCAUGGCCGCAGCUCUGUGCACCUGCUGAGAGCCACUGCUCCAGGCAGGGCUAGGUGCAGGCCUGCUUCACAUCUCACAGGGGUAGGAAGGAAACCUGCAUGAUUCCUAAGGCCUUUUUAAAAUUCUGUAAUUCAAAGGAAGUAAGGAAGGGAGGGAAAGGUGACUGUUAAUUCUGCCAAAACCCUGAGGAAAUCAGUAAUCUUGAAUCGCUGAUGCUAAUUUAUGAUUUUGGACAGGUUGCCUAAAAUUUAUCAAGCUUAACCAAAUCCACAGAAAUGAAUGAACAAAUAAAUAAACAAAUCAAAAUCUUGCUACCCCUUGGAUGAGAAAUUCUGCACCAGAGCCAAGAUUUCCCAAAGAGAGAAACUCCAAAACUGCACACUGAGGCAGGAAAAGAAGAGGUGAACACAACUCCAGAUCCUCCCGCUGCCCAGAGCAUCCCAUGGCUCAGGUCUCCAUGAGAACAGGUUUCAGAACCACCCACUGACAUCUCAGUGAUGUCCCGGGUCUCCCGACUGCUCCAGCAAAUGCAGCAUCUCAUGUGGAGUCGGAGCUUCAUAGUCACGGAGAUGUCUCUAGAACCAGAGAGCAAGGUGUCAAAUUAAGCAUUCAGAAUCACACCUUGCUGACUUUCAUUUACUUUUUGAGGGAGAGAGAGAGGAGGGGGGAUGGAGGCCAUUUUCAGGAUGCCUCUACUCUUCAAAAGAGGGUGGGCAGGAGGCAGUGCCAAGGUUUCAGGCCAACUUGGGAUGGCUUUAUGGCUCUGUGGACGGGUACACUUUAGGUCUCAUUUGGACCACUCAGGUGGCAUUAUUUCCAAGGACAGAUGGCGAUAAAUGAACAAAUGCCUUGGCUCUUAUUAUAUCAAUAAAUUUUAUAUAUAUAUAUAUAUAUAUAUAUAUACACACACACACCAAUAUAUUAUAAAAUUGGUGAUACUAAUACACCAAGGCCGUGAAAUGUUUCUGGCCUCAUUGGCCUUAGUUGUUAAAUGUGAAUCAUGUCUUGGAGUGUGUAGGUGGUGGUGAGAAACUGCCUUCUGGAAGUGUAGCCUCUCCACCUUUGGUUCAGGCAGAACUGGGGGGAACACUGGUGUGUGUGAGUGUGUGUAUGUGAGUGCAUGUGCGUGUGCCUGUGUGCAAUUCAGGUAUGAAGGUGGUUCUGUGGUUGGCCAGGCAGCCUGCUCCUAGUAACAUGGGUCUUGGUGACCUUCCUACAUGGUCUAACCCAGCCUCUGGAACCUUCUGCAACCCAGAAGACAGUGCCUUUAAUACUAACAUACAAUAGACUCCCGCAAAGGACAUAGCAGACCCCUCUUUCCCAUCGCCCAGAGUCCACACACUCCCACAUAACACAUAACAAACUUACUGAAGGCAAAGCAAAGCACAGAGAAUGGGGUAUCAACUGGAAGCCAGUGCACUUGGUACAGUUUUACCAAUUGAAUGGGGUGCUCUGAGCCAGCGUCAGAGGACAAACAGCAAGACAGACAUGAAGGGGCCCC
Molecule: long non-coding RNA, 6243 nt
Filed under: Sus scrofa (pig)
Lineage: Eukaryota; Metazoa; Chordata; Mammalia; Artiodactyla; Suidae
Description: lncRNA (ENSSSCG00015012309.1)
Source: RNAcentral